This 655-nucleotide ribosomal RNA is filed under the name Escherichia coli. RNAcentral's name for it is "partial 23S ribosomal RNA". It matches the Rfam family "Bacterial large subunit ribosomal RNA", at positions 333 to 991 of the family's 2925-position model. Lineage: Bacteria; Pseudomonadati; Pseudomonadota; Gammaproteobacteria; Enterobacterales; Enterobacteriaceae. The record is from RNAcentral.
UGGAAGCGUCUGGAAAGGCGCGCGAUACAGGGUGACAGCCCCGUACACAAAAAUGCACAUGCUGUGAGCUCGAUGAGUAGGGCGGGACACGUGGUAUCCUGUCUGAAUAUGGGGGGACCAUCCUCCAAGGCUAAAUACUCCUGACUGACCGAUAGUGAACCAGUACCGUGAGGGAAAGGCGAAAAGAACCCCGGCGAGGGGAGUGAAAAAGAACCUGAAACCGUGUACGUACAAGCAGUGGGAGCACGCUUAGGCGUGUGACUGCGUACCUUUUGUAUAAUGGGUCAGCGACUUAUAUUCUGUAGCAAGGUUAACCGAAUAGGGGAGCCGAAGGGAAACCGAGUCUUAACUGGGCGUUAAGUUGCAGGGUAUAGACCCGAAACCCGGUGAUCUAGCCAUGGGCAGGUUGAAGGUUGGGUAACACUAACUGGAGGACCGAACCGACUAAUGUUGAAAAAUUAGCGGAUGACUUGUGGCUGGGGGUGAAAGGCCAAUCAAACCGGGAGAUAGCUGGUUCUCCCCGAAAGCUAUUUAGGUAGCGCCUCGUGAAUUCAUCUCCGGGGGUAGAGCACUGUUUCGGCAAGGGGGUCAUCCCGACUUACCAACCCGAUGCAAACUGCGAAUACCGGAGAAUGUUAUCACGGGAGACACACGG